RNAcentral lists this ribosomal RNA (445 nucleotides) under Biston falcata. RNAcentral describes it as "partial 16S ribosomal RNA". The stretch from base 37 to 250 matches the Rfam family "Archaeal large subunit ribosomal RNA", at positions 1794 to 2108 of the family's 2987-position model. The record is from RNAcentral. Lineage: Eukaryota; Metazoa; Arthropoda; Insecta; Lepidoptera; Geometridae.
AAUAUUAAAUUAAAAUUAAUUUUUGAUUAAUAACUAAAUUAAUUAAAAGGAAUUCGGCAAAUAUUUAUUUUCACUUGUUUAUCAAAAACAUGUCUUUUUGUUAUUUAAUUUAAAGUCUAAUCUGCCCACUGAUUUAUAAAAAUUGAAGGGCUGCAGUAUAUUGACUGUACAAAGGUAGCAUAAUCAUUAGUCUCUUAAUUGGUGACUUGUAUGAAAGAUUGGAUGAAAAAUAUACUGUCUCUUAGUUAAUAUGUAGAAUUUAAUUUUUUAUUUAAAAAGUUAAAAUAAUUUAAAAAGACGAGAAGACCCUAUAGAGUUUAAUAAAUUAUUUUAUGAAAGUUUUAUUUAUAUUUACUAAUAAUUUUAUAAAUUUAUUUAUUUUGUUGGGGUGAUAAAAAAAUAAAUUUAACUUUUUUUAAGUAAUUUACAUGAAUAAGUGAUUAAU